This 402-nucleotide ribosomal RNA is filed under the name uncultured Sphingomonas sp. RNAcentral's name for it is "bacterial SSU rRNA". It matches the Rfam family "Bacterial small subunit ribosomal RNA", at positions 355 to 774 of the family's 1533-position model. The record is from RNAcentral. Lineage: Bacteria; Pseudomonadati; Pseudomonadota; Alphaproteobacteria; Sphingomonadales; Sphingomonadaceae.
UAGGGAAUAUUGGACAAUGGGCGAAAGCCUGAUCCAGCAAUGCCGCGUGAGUGAUGAAGGCCUUAGGGUUGUAAAGCUCUUUUACCCGGGAAGAUAAUGACUGUACCGGGAGAAUAAGCCCCGGCUAACUCCGUGCCAGCAGCCGCGGUAAUACGGAGGGGGCUAGCGUUGUUCGGAAUUACUGGGCGUAAAGCGCGCGUAGGCGGCUUUGUAAGUUAGAGGUGAAAGCCCGGGGCUCAACCCCGGAAAUGCCUUUAAGACUGCAUCGCUUGAAUCCAGGAGAGGUGAGUGGAAUUCCGAGUGUAGAGGUGAAAUUCGUAGAUAUUCGGAAGAACACCAGUGGCGAAGGCGGCUCACUGGCCUGGUAUUGACGCUGAGGUGCGAAAGCGUGGGGAGCAAACA